Long non-coding RNA from Asparagus officinalis (garden asparagus), 219 nucleotides. RefSeq lists it as uncharacterized. The transcript is spliced from 3 exons. The record is from RefSeq and is a predicted model, not a curated record. Lineage: Eukaryota; Viridiplantae; Streptophyta; Magnoliopsida; Asparagales; Asparagaceae.
ACAGAUGAAGAACUCGAGGUUAUUCGAUCGAUCGCGUGAUCGGUCACGAUCUACGAGCCUAGGCUCAGAACAGCUUCAGGAGGCACACAUUUCAUCACAUACGGAUAUAGAUAAUUUGGCAGGCAUCGAUUAUUCUUCACCCGGAGCCACUGAUUCACAUGCAGAGCCCUCCCACACUACAGAGGGUUCUUGGACACCAUCGUCUUCACAUCAUACGCA